AGUCCUCGCAGGCCGAGGCCGCCGGGCUCCGCGCGCAGCUGUCCGAGUGCCGGUGGGAGCUGCGCGCCUCGCGGAGGGACCUGCAGGAGCGCGCACGGGACCAGGCGCGCACGCGAGAGGCCCUCGGGCUGGAGGCGUCCGCGGGGCUCCUGGGAAGCCAGCAGCUGGAGGAGAAGGUCUCGGAGCUCAGGAAGGAGCUGGCCUCGGCCCGGGAGGCACUGAGCGCCGCCCAGCUGCAGAGGGACGUUGUGGAGAGCGAGAGGGAGGGCCUACGUGGAGCUCUGGCUCGGGCCGAGUCCAGCAAUGCUGACCUAGAACUGCUCGUGGGGAGGCUGAGGUCAGAGGGCGUGGAGCAAAGGGACUCCCUGGCCCAGAUGGCUGCCCUGCUGGAAGGGCUGGCUCAGGACAAGGGCACCCUGAACCACCUGGUCCUGCAGCUGGAGGGGCGGGCGGCCCAGCUCGGGCGCGAGAAGGCCCAGCUCCAGGAGCAGGUGGGCCAGCUCACACGCAAGACACGGGCCCUGGAGGAGCAGCUGGCGCGGAGCCUGCAGGACCAGGAGACCCAGCUGGACGCUCUGCAGCGAGCCCUGCAGGAGAAGGACGCCCUGUCCGCGCAGCGGGCCCAGCUGCUGGCCGAGCAGGAGGCCGUAGAGAGGCAGGGCCAGCUCGAGGCCAAGGAGGCGGCCGACCUCAGGGCCGAGAGGGACUCCCUGGAGAGCCGCCUCUUUGAGGCCCAGCAGCUGGCGACGCAGCUGCAGGUGCAGCAGGAGCGGCUGGCGGGAGAGGCCCGGAGUGCCCGGCUGGCUCAGCGCAACUCGCAAGCGGAAGCGGAGCAGCUGAGAAGCGAGUGGGAGGCCCAGGAGGCGCAGCUGCGGCAGGUGGCGAGGCAGGAGCGGGAGGCGCAGGGGGCCCUGGAGCGCCAGGCGCUGGCCCAGCUCGAGGACCUGGCGCAGCUGCAGAGGGAGAAGGAAACCCUGAGUCUGGCCCUGGCGGAGGAGAAGGAGGCGGCCGAGUUCCAGCGGCAGCAGGAGAAGGAGCUGGCGGCCAGAAGCGCAUCCGAGAGGGAGGCUCUGAAAGAGGAAAUUCGGAGCCUGAAGCAGGAGCGGGAUGAGAGCCGCCUCCAGCUGGAGCAGGAGAUGCAACAGGCGCUGUCUCUGAAGGAAGCCCAGCUCGGCCUGCUCAGCAAGGAGCUCUCCAAGGCUGACCGCGAGCGGGAGCAGGUGCAGCAGGAGGCCCAGAGCCGGCAGGAGCAGGCGGAGGCCACCAUCCGCGCCACGGCGGAGGAGCUGAAGGCCCUGCAGGCCCAGUUUGAGGGAGCCAUCGCUGCCCACCAGAGGGAGGCCGCUCCCAGGCACCCCGAGGGGCAGGCCGGGCGCCGGAGAGGAAGGGAACAUGAUUUAACAUGACGGGCUGUUUAUGUUGGCCCCGGAGAGAAAGGUCUCCUUUCAACAGAUUUCAAAGUCAGGCC
Molecule: long non-coding RNA, 1468 nt
Filed under: Microcebus murinus (gray mouse lemur)
Lineage: Eukaryota; Metazoa; Chordata; Mammalia; Primates; Cheirogaleidae
Description: lncRNA (ENSMICG00000048692.1)
Source: RNAcentral